GAAAUGCGAUAAGUAAUGUGAAUUGCAGAAUUCAGUGAAUCAUCGCAUCUUUGAACGCACAUUGCGCCCGCCAGUAUUCUGGCGGGCAUGCCUGUUCGAGCGUCAUUACAACCCUCAGGCCCCCGGGCCUGGCGUUGGGGAUCGGCGGAAGCCCCCUGCGGGCACAACGCCGUCCCCCAAAUACAGUGGCGGUCCCGCCGCAGCUUCCAUUGCGUAGUAGCUAACACCUCGCAACUGGAGAGCGGCGCGGCCACGCCGUAAAACACCCAACUUCUGAAUGUUGACCUCGAAUCAGGUAGGAAUACCCGCUGAACUUAAGC
Molecule: unclassified non-coding RNA, 320 nt
Filed under: plant metagenome
Description: partial contains 5.8S ribosomal RNA, internal transcribed spacer 2, and large subunit ribosomal RNA
Rfam family: 5.8S ribosomal RNA (bases 1-105)
Source: RNAcentral